This 298-nucleotide long non-coding RNA is filed under the name Nicotiana benthamiana. RNAcentral's name for it is "long non-coding RNA (NBEN_LNC039397)". Lineage: Eukaryota; Viridiplantae; Streptophyta; Magnoliopsida; Solanales; Solanaceae. The record is from RNAcentral.
UGUCUUUCCAGUUCCUCGUGGGCCUUGGAAAAGAUAAACAGGGGCAAUUCGUCCCCUGGAGAUUGCAUUCACUAGGGACUGAACAACAAUAUUCUGCCCAAUUAAUUCCUCGAAAAACAUUGGCUUGUACUUCUGGCUCAGGCUUCUGAUAUUUUCUGGGGAGCCCUCCUCUCCCCAAUUAAUUCCUCGAAAAACAUUGGCCUGUACUUCUGGCUCAGGCUUCUGAUAUUUUCUGGGGAGCCCUCCUCUCCAUAUUCUCCAUUCAGUGCCACCACUUCUAGUCCAUCUUGACUUCUGC